UACGUAGGCAGCAAGCGUUGUUCGGAAUUACUGGGCGUAAAGAGUGUGUAGGCGGUUUUCUAAGUUCGGUGUGAAAUCUCCCGGCUUAACUGGGAGGGUGCGCCGGAAACUGGAGGACUGGAGUGCCGGAGAGGAUAGCGGAAUUCCUGGUGUAGCGGUGAAAUGCGUAGAUAUCGGGAAGAACACCCGUGGCGAAGGCGGCACUCUGGGACGGUACUGACGCUGAGACGCGAAAGCGUGGGGAGCGAACAGG
This 253-nucleotide ribosomal RNA is filed under the name uncultured bacterium. RNAcentral's name for it is "partial 16S ribosomal RNA". It matches the Rfam family "Bacterial small subunit ribosomal RNA", at positions 524 to 776 of the family's 1533-position model. The record is from RNAcentral.